This 94-nucleotide small nuclear RNA is filed under the name Sus scrofa (pig). Lineage: Eukaryota; Metazoa; Chordata; Mammalia; Artiodactyla; Suidae. The record is from RNAcentral.
GGGCUCCCCUUAGCACCAUAUAUGCUAAAAUGGCAAUAAUACCAAGAAGAGCAGCAAGGCCCCUGUGCAAAUGCGUGAAACAUUUCAUGUUUUU